CUCGUAGGCGGUUUGUCGCGUCGGGAGUGAAAACGCCGUGCUUAACACGCGCUUGCUUUCGAUACGGGCAGACUAGAGGUAUGCAGGGGAGAACGGAAUUCCUGGUGUAGCGGUGAAAUGCGCAGAUAUCGGGAGGAACACCGGUGGCGAAGGCGGUUCUCUGGGCAUGACCUGACGCUGAGGAGCGAAAGUGUGGGAGCGAACA
RNAcentral lists this ribosomal RNA (205 nucleotides) under uncultured bacterium. RNAcentral describes it as "partial 16S ribosomal RNA". It matches the Rfam family "Bacterial small subunit ribosomal RNA", at positions 568 to 774 of the family's 1533-position model. The record is from RNAcentral.